This is a long non-coding RNA of Sitophilus oryzae (rice weevil), 1510 nucleotides long. RefSeq lists it as uncharacterized. The record is from RefSeq and is a predicted model, not a curated record. Lineage: Eukaryota; Metazoa; Arthropoda; Insecta; Coleoptera; Curculionidae. The transcript has 7 exons.
GAAUUAACUGAUCGAAGGCAAAUAAGACCAAAUUCUGAGCCUCAAAUAGAUAGUACCAUUUUUGCUGGGGCUUUAUCAUACAGGUUUUCUUCUAGUUUGUACCGCCACCCAAGAAAUGUUUUAGGUAAAUGAACCUCCAGACCAGCUGAGGGACUAGAGAAGGUCCCUACCUAGUCCCGCGAUUGGCAGUUUGGCUGGCCCCUCAAAUUUGAUUUUGCCUAAAGUCAUACAAGAUAAACUAGCCCUUCUCAAGAAGCCCUUCCCUCAAAACAACAGAAACGGCAUUGGAAAAAGAAGUUGGAAUUAACCAGUAUGUGCUCUUUCAUAGUAAGACAAUCCUCAUCUUCUGAUCUCUCAAUAGUUGGAUAUUUAUUAUCUCAAGAAAGUCGUCAAAGUAUCAGAAAAAGAAAGAAGUAUGUUAAUGAGGCAUUAUAAUGAUAUUAUGUAGAAAUUUAAGUCUUGUAAAAAUUUGGAAACAAAGAAAAUGAAAAAUACAUACUUUACAAAUAGGUCUUAGAAGAUUGAAAAAUAAAAUAAUAUCAAUGCAUCAGUUAAUUGAUUACUUAAGAAAAAUCUUUGAUAAGUGAAUCAACUGAAUUGACCAUUCAGGUAUGAAUAUAGGCUUCCUUAGCUGAACCAGUACAAAGUAUUUUUGAAAGAAUGUUAAAAGGACCUGCCACACAAAAAUCCAAUCUUCUGCUACUAUCCUUUGCUUUAACAUUGUCAUUUUAUUCGCCGAAAACAUAGAAUUUAUAAGGGAUACAUAAACUGGCCCAGAGUUUUCUUAGGAGGCCUCUAAAUUCCAUUUAGUUUUCAACAAUAUUUUUGAUAUUUUUAACUCUCAGAAUGGAUUUACAAAAUAUUCAUAUAAAAAAAUUAUCAAAAAUAUAAGAACAACAUACUUUUUAAUAAUUUUGAAAUAAUUAAAUUGUAUAUUAUUGGACUUACUUUAAAAGAAAGGUCAACCAUAGUCACAAAGAAAAACGGGAUUUUUGGGCUUUCUAAUUUGUAUGGAAAGCUUACAACGUAUGUAUAAAUACUAUGUAAAAGAAAAUCAAUUAUUGAAAUAUAUUUUGACUAACUGGUGGAGGUCCACGUAUACAAAAAGCAAAAACGGAAGAUAAUAAUAUAUUCAAUUAAUGUAAAAAUGAGAAGAGCAUUGUGGGAUUAAAAAACAUGAUGGUGAUAGAUUGUCUAAAACUAAUAGGAGUACUGGUAUUUCUCAAAACAAAACUGAUGGUUACAAAGAAACAGAAGAAAAGGGAUGAUACUAAUUUACUAGACAAAAGGCUGUUCUUUUGUAAUAUGGAGAUGGGCAAAAUUCAAAGUAGUAGUAUUCAAAACAGAGAAGAACAUAAGCUAAAGAAAAAAAGGGUUGUUAGACAUUGAAAUAAAAAAAGAACAGUAAAGUUCUCAAAGAGAACUUAUUUAAUAAUUUUAAUUAGUGUUUAUAUUGUCAUGUAAAAAAUGUAAUAUAUGUUAUUUCUGAAUAAAAGACAUUUAAUAAUGA